Molecule: ribosomal RNA, 255 nt
Filed under: uncultured bacterium
Lineage: Bacteria
Description: partial 16S ribosomal RNA
Rfam family: Bacterial small subunit ribosomal RNA
Source: RNAcentral
UACGGGGGGGGCAAGCGUUGUUCGGAAUUACUGGGCGUAAAGGGCUCGUAGGUGGUCAACUAAGUCGGACGUGAAAUCCCUCGGCUUAACCGGGGAACUGCGUCCGAUACUGGAUGACUUGAGUUCGGGAGAGGGAAGCGGAAUUCCGGGUGUAGGCGGUGAAAUGCGUAGAUAUCUGGAGGAACACCGGUGGCGAAGGCGGCAUCCUGGACCAACACUGACGCUGAUGAGCGAAAGCCAGGGGAGCAAAGCGGG